RNAcentral lists this ribosomal RNA (301 nucleotides) under uncultured bacterium. Its description in RNAcentral is "partial 16S ribosomal RNA". It matches the Rfam family "Bacterial small subunit ribosomal RNA", at positions 509 to 807 of the family's 1533-position model. The record is from RNAcentral.
CAGUCGCCGCGGGAAUACGGAGGGAGCUAGCGUUGUUCGGAAUUACUGGGCGUAAAGCGCGCGUAGGCGGUUACUCAAGUCAGAGGUGAAAGCCCGGGGCUCAACCCCGGAACUGCCUUUGAAACUAGGUGACUAGAAUCUUGGAGAGGUCAGUGGAAUUCCGAGUGUAGAGGUGAAAUUUGUAGAUAUUCGGAAGAACACCAGUGGCGAAGGCGACUGACUGGACAAGUAUUGACGCUGAGGUGCGAAAGCGUGGGGAGCAAACAGGAUUAGAUACCCGCGUAGUCCCUGUCUCUUAUAC